CUCAAAGAAAGGAAUGCCAAAAAAGCAGCAAACUGACGGUGCUGCUGGGUGCCACUCUGGGCAGGAUCGCAUCUGUCCCGUGGGCAGGACGUCUCACUGCAUUGUGCCUUUCUCCCGGCUGCCACCUGGGUGACACUGCUUGGUUUUCAGAGCUCCACCUCCUACCAACAGCAGUGCGGUCAGUGGAGAGGAAAGAUGCUGAAAAUGAUCCCUGCGUUAUCCGGGUGCCAAAUCAAUGCAUCUCAUCCUGCCCUGCACUGAGAGCAGAGCAUUGCUGAGAGCAGGAUGGAGGAAGGUGAGGGAAGUCCUACAGGUGGGGAAGGAACACCAACAGGUCUGAAGGACCGCAGUGCCCCUGCAGCUCCCCAGGUCUCCACCUGCGACUGCCCCGUGCAAUGGGAAAUAUAACUACAUUCUGAGAACAACAGCCCCUUAGGAAGAAAAAACAAUAAGGGAAGAAAGCACGCCUUUGAAAAACAACAGCAAAGAAAAAAACCCUUCAACUAUAAAAUAAACUAAGCUUUAUUUUGCCAAAUUCUGAGCCGUCAUUUGCUGCCAGCAGUCCCACCUCUUCCAUCCAGGAGCUGGUGACGUUGAUCGAGCUGCAGAUCAGAAGCUGUUCCCUGGAUGAGGUGGGCCGCCUGCUGCCCUCACCAUGCUCUUCCCACCCCACUGCUGCCCGCCCUGAGGUCUGCUCCAGCGCAGGGAGGUCUGGCACUCUUGAACCUGAGGUCAAAAACAAGAGGGAGGAAAAGAAUGGCCUUCAGGCCAGAGGAAGAAACCAGGGCAACCAGGCUCUUAACGUGAUAAAAGGGCUUUAUCUCAAAGCACUUAAACAAAACACACAAGCCUGAGAGAAGAGGCUCUGUCAAGUAUCCGCCCGGGACAUGGGGAAAUUGCAAAUCCCUGCAGGACAGAGGGGCUCUUUCUUCAGUGUGCAGAGCCUGGAGAUGGGGCUGGGCAGGUGAGGGGUGCUGGGGAAGGGGUGCAUGGGGGAUUUCCCGUUUGCAGUGGUGCAUGGGUACGGAUCAGACUGUGAGCAGCUGUUAGAGAGCAGAUCACGGGCACGGGGAGUGGGCAGCAGUGCUGGAGAGGGGCAGGAGAGAAUGGGAGAUGGGACAUGCAGCAGCAGGUGGGCACAGUCCCACCCCCUGUGUGUGGGGAGUCAGUGUAAAUCAGUGCCACCUCUGCACUUGGUGGGUGGAUGGGUGCAGUUUGCAGGAGUUGGAUGGGUGUAGUUUACAGGAGUUGGAGGGGAGGCUUGGUUCUUGCUGGCCCCUUACAGAACGCUGCAGGGAGGAUUGUGCCAUGGAGAGGUCUCUGGGUUGUUCCCAGGUGCAUGGGCAGGGAGCUGCACACACCAUCCCGGGUCUCUGGGCUGCAGGUCCCAGCCCAUCCCCAGCCAAUCUGCUUUCCCAAGGGGCUGAGGCAGCUGUGCUUGUGGUACCUGCUCCAAAGGGACGGGCUGUUCGCUCUGGCUCAUCUUGUCCCUCAUCCCUUUGGGGCUCAGCCCCGUCCCUCCCCAUUUCUCUGUGACACACGAUGCUUCGUGCCAGCAAUCCCUGCCUAUGAGGAGAAGCCCUGCCCUGCCUGGGCGCUGCUCUCCCUCUGGCUCCUUGUUCUUCAGCCUUUGUUUGGUACACGUCCUCGUCCCCUAUGGAUGCCCAUAGUGUCCUUUCCCUUCCAUGGCUCAGUGAGGACCACGAGGAGCUCCCAGCCAUGAAUUUCCCCCACACACCACUGCCAGGCUGUUAUUGCUGUGCGCUCCCUCCUGACUCCAUCUGUCUGCAUGGUGCUACUGCUCCGUGCCAGGAGGGCUCCGGGACCGCUGGGGUCACGGCUGCCCCAUUACGGGGCGAGAUUUAUCAUUGGCAGGUGUGCUGCGGGAUGGUAUAUUAUCCAGGAUUAUGAACUGUAACAGGAUAAUCUCUCUAAUGUAAUUCAAGCUCUCGACAUGGCUUAUGGCUCCUUAAUGUACCUCAGACUGAAGAAUUACAAGAACAUUUUCCCCCCUCCCUACCUUGUCAGCUCCUAAAUGAUUUAGGCAAUCGCCUGAAGCCAGAUCUUGGCCUCCAGUCAUAACUCAGAGCAGUUCAGUAAAUAUGAUGGGGAAGGAGUUUUCCUGCCUUGGCUCUUUCUUCCUUCCGCUGCGCUCAGCCCUCGCGGUGCUGCUGCUCUGCUCCCUGUGGAGCAUUCAGGAUGGACCCAAAGUUGGGCUGGUGGGCGCAGGGAUGCUCUGCAGGGGGAUCAUGCCUUGGUUUCAGAUCAUGGGGUUGUGCCCAUUUCAGCAUCACCUCUCUUUUUGAGUAAUGCAGCAAUUAGUGGUUUGGUAACACAUCAACCAAUGUGUGUCCAGCUUUGCUUUGUACCCCCGCUGAGCCAAGAGGAACAUUGCCCAUCUUCAUCUAAUUGGCUUUUAAUUCUGGUCAUUGCUUUGACCUUAAAGAUGUGGUUUGUGGGGCCGAUUUUGGAGCAGGUACAUCCCCACAUGGGCACCAAAAAGGUGAGCAGUGAUGGCCACCACCCCAGGGUCCCACAGCGACCAACUGGCCUCAGUCCAGCCCCCAUGAGCCCAGUGACAAAUAAACCUCGUAAAAGGAGAGGAAAAAGAGGGAGAAAAGCAGAGAUUAAGAACAGGAACUGCAGGGAUAUGGCUUCCACUCGGCGACUGACUUAAAAUAAACAUCAGAUAUGCAGAGCAGGGCUGGGAGCCUGCCAUGGCAUGGGGG
Molecule: long non-coding RNA, 2729 nt
Organism: Gallus gallus (chicken)
Lineage: Eukaryota; Metazoa; Chordata; Aves; Galliformes; Phasianidae
Source: Ensembl